GACGUAGGGCGCGAGCGUUGUCCGGAAUUAUUGGGCGUAAAGAGCUCGUAGGCGGCUUGGCAAGUCGGGUGUGAAACCUCCAGGCUCAACCUGGAGACGCCACUCGAUACUGCCAUGGCUAGAGUCCGGUAGGGGACCACGGAAUUCCUGGUGUAGCGGUGGAAUGCGCAGAUAUCAGGAGGAACACCGGUGGCGAAGGCGGGUCUCUGGGCAGUAACUGACGCUGAGGAGCGAAAAGCGUGGGG
This 245-nucleotide ribosomal RNA is filed under the name uncultured bacterium. RNAcentral's name for it is "partial 16S ribosomal RNA". It matches the Rfam family "Bacterial small subunit ribosomal RNA", at positions 524 to 766 of the family's 1533-position model. The record is from RNAcentral.